This 433-nucleotide ribosomal RNA is filed under the name uncultured bacterium. RNAcentral describes it as "partial 16S ribosomal RNA". It matches the Rfam family "Bacterial small subunit ribosomal RNA", at positions 29 to 507 of the family's 1533-position model. The record is from RNAcentral.
AACGAACGCUGGCGGCAUGCCUAACACAUGCAAGUCGAACGAGACCUUCGGGUCUAGUGGCGCACGGGUGCGUAACGCGUGGGAACCUGCCCUUAGGUUCGGAAUAACUCCCCGAAAGGGGUGCUAAUACCGGUUAAUCUCUUCGGACCAAAGAUCUAUCGCCUUUGGAUGGGCCCGCGUUGGAUUAGCUAGUUGGUAGGGUAAAAGCCUACCAAGGCGACGAUGCUGAGCUGGUCUGAGAGGAUGAUCAGCCACACUGGGACUGAGACGCGGCCCAGAAUCCGACGGGGAGCAGCAGUGGGGAAUAUUGGACAAUGGGCGAAAGCCUGAUCCAGCAAUGCCGCGUGAGUGAUGAAGGCCUUAGGGUUGUAAAGCUCUUUUACCCGGGAUGAUAAUGACAGUACCGGGAGAAUAAGCUCCGGCUAACUCCGUG